UCCACCAUGUUUUUUUGUUUUUUGUUUUUUGUUUUUUGAGACGGAGCCUGGCUCUGUCCCCCAGACAGUUAGUGCAGUGUUGUGAUCUCCGCUCACUGCACAAAACAGGUAUCUCCAACCCCAAAAUAAAGAAGUUAUAAGAUCAUAAAAAUGUUAGAAGAAAACAUAGGAUUUCCCCCCAGUCUUCCAGGAAUCUUCCAAGCCUUAAAGCUAACAUAAGAAAUCAUAAAAAAGAAGAUUAAUUCAUACAACUCUAACCAAACCAUACGUUUCUACAUAACAAAAAUAUCAUGUACAAAAUUUAAAAAACCAAACAGCAAACUCGAGGAAAAUGGUUACAAGUCAUCCAGAAGGGUUAAUUUACAUCAUACAUAAAGUGUACCUAUAAAUACAUAAGAAAAUAAUGCUUCUCACAGCAUAUACACACACAUAAAGGCAAAGGAAAUGAAGAGACUGUUCAAAGAACAGGAAAUAUGGAUGGCUCAAAAACUUUCAAAAAGAUGUUUAACUUCCUUCAUAACAAGAGAAAUGCAAGUCACAACCACCACCAAAUACAAUUUUUUGCACAUCAAACUAGAAAAUAUGUAAAGAUUUGAUAAUCCCCUGGGUCAGGGAGGGUGUAGGGAACAGAACCACACAUAUUAUUAGUAUAAUUGUGCAUAGCUAAGAUUUCUACAGAAAACACUCUGACAGUAUUAACAUAAAAAUGCAGCCUACUUUCACCCUCCCACUUCUAAAAAUUUAUAAAUGGCAGUCCAGUCUGACAAUGGAAUACUAUGCAGACAUAAAAAAGAAUGAGUAUCUCUAUGUACUGAUGUAUUCAUCUCCAGCAUAAGUGAAAAAACAGUGUUUCGGAUACGCUAGUGUUUCUGAGACAAAAGGAACGAGUCCGAGAACUGGCUGAAGCCGAUGAACAGCGCCGGGAUCCAGGUGAGCAGCACGAGGGUCUUCUGAUAGCCCCCGCCCAGGCCCCCGACAGGCCGCCCCCAUGUCACCCGCCGGACCCCGCGCCCCGGGCGCUGCGGCCCCGCUCGGGCGCCGGGCAGAGGCGGGCAGAGGCCGGCCGGGCCCUCAGCCGCCGCGGCUCAUCAGUUCCGCGGCCCGGGCGCCGGCUGCAAGUGCAUGCGAUGUAAGCACGAUGCUGGGAUAUAUCUCCAACACAAGUUAUAAUACACACAGUAUAAACGUGAUGGCAUUCCCCACCCCCUCCCUAAGCCCAGCCAGCGCUGUAUAAAUAACACCAGCCCUGCGGCAAACGGCUACAUUAGCAUAUUUCCUCCUGCACCCAGCGCACGCACCAAAGAGAAUUAUCCGGCACCUUUCAACCCAGCGUCCCCACAUUUUGGAGGCAUUUCAUAUUCUAAGGGCAACAUGUGUUUACUGCAUAAAAUGCUGGCACAUACGUACCAGAGAACUAUUUCUGAAGGCUGCCGGGGGGCGGGUCUUGGGGGACAGGGGAGGUUGUGGACCUUCCUGCGUGGCCGAGAAGGGGUGAUUAGAUAACAAUGGGCGGAAGGGGCCCUAAGGGCUGCAAAAGACACCAGACCGCUGAGAAAUGGGUCUGGAAACCACAUAUAUAAAGAGCUGGGGGCUUGGGGCGGGGGGGGACACGAUAGUGCACGUUGUGUACGUGGUAAUUUUUCAACUUCACAUUAUUUAUUAGCUUAACUUUUCUUUUCCUUCCCUCUCCUCCCCUCAUUUGAAGAGCUAAUACAUGCAAAGUUCUGACCUCCAUGCCUGGAACAGAGUAAGUGCGCAAUGAAUGUUAGACAUGUAUUAUUACCAGUGCUCCUCUUGCCAUUACA
This 1805-nucleotide long non-coding RNA is filed under the name Homo sapiens (human). Its description in RNAcentral is "HSALNT0100120". The record is from RNAcentral. Lineage: Eukaryota; Metazoa; Chordata; Mammalia; Primates; Hominidae.